UCCGUAGGUGAACCUGCGGAGGGAUCAUUACCGAGUUCAUGCCCUUACGGGUAGAUCUCCCACCCUAUGUUAUAUUACCUUUGUUGCUUUGGCAGGCCGUCAGGCUUCGGUCAGGCUACCGGCUCCGGCUGGUAAGCGCCUGCCAGAGGACCCCAAACUCUGAAUGUUAGUGUUGUCUGAGUACUAUAUAAUAGUUAAAACUUUCAACAACGGAUCUCUUGGUUCUGGCAUCGAUGAAGAACGCAGCGAAAUGCGAUAAGUAAUGUGAAUUGCAGAAUUCAGUGAAUCAUCGAAUCUUUGAACGCACAUUGCGCCCCUUGGUAUUCCGAGGGGCAUGCCUGUUCGAGCGUCAUUACAACCCUCAAGCACAGCUUGGUAUUGGGCUCCGCUACUUACCUAGCGGGUCUUAAAAUCAGUGGCGGCGCCAUCGAGGCCCUGAGCGUAGUAAAUAUCCUCGCUAUAGGGACUCGGUGGACACUAGCCAUCAACCCCCCAACUUUCUAAGUUUGACCUCGGAUCAGGUAGGGAUACCCGCUGAACUUAAGCAUAUCAAUAACGGGAGGGGAAGGUCUACUGGCCAAGGGCACACAGGGGGGGAUA
This 600-nucleotide ribosomal RNA is filed under the name uncultured fungus. RNAcentral's name for it is "eukaryotic LSU rRNA". The stretch from base 199 to 352 matches the Rfam family "5.8S ribosomal RNA". Lineage: Eukaryota; Fungi. The record is from RNAcentral.